AUGGCUCAGAUUGAACGCUGGCGGCAGGCCUAACACAUGCAAGUCGAACGGUAACAGGAAGAAGCUUGCUUCUUUGCUGACGAGUGGCGGACGGGUGAGUAAUGUCUGGGAAACUGCCUGAUGGAGGGGGAUAACUACUGGAAACGGUAGCUAAUACCGCAUAACGUCGCAAGACCAAAGAGGGGGACCUUCGGGCCUCUUGCCAUCGGAUGUGCCCAGAUGGGAUUAGCUUGUUGGUGGGGUAACGGCUCACCAAGGCGACGAUCCCUAGCUGGUCUGAGAGGAUGACCAGCCACACUGGAACUGAGACACGGUCCAGACUCCUACGGGAGGCAGCAGUGGGGAAUAUUGCACAAUGGGCGCAAGCCUGAUGCAGCCAUGCCGCGUGUAUGAAGAAGGCCUUCGGGUUGUAAAGUACUUUCAGCGGGGAGGAAGGGAGUAAAGUUAAUACCUUUGCUCAUUGACGUUACCCGCAGAAGAAGCACCGGCUAACUCCGUGCCAGCAGCCGCGGUAAUACGGAGGGUGCAAGCGUUAAUCGGAAUUACUGGGCGUAAAGCGCACGCAGGCGGUUUGUUAAGUCAGAUGUGAAAUCCCCGGGCUCAACCUGGGAACUGCAUCUGAUACUGGCAAGCUUGAGUCUCGUAGAGGGGGGUAGAAUUCCAGGUGUAGCGGUGAAA
Molecule: ribosomal RNA, 678 nt
Filed under: Escherichia sp.
Lineage: Bacteria; Pseudomonadati; Pseudomonadota; Gammaproteobacteria; Enterobacterales; Enterobacteriaceae
Description: bacterial SSU rRNA
Rfam family: Bacterial small subunit ribosomal RNA
Source: RNAcentral